GCGUGCUCCGGGCGUCGGCCUG
Molecule: small nuclear RNA, 22 nt
Filed under: Arabidopsis thaliana (thale cress)
Lineage: Eukaryota; Viridiplantae; Streptophyta; Magnoliopsida; Brassicales; Brassicaceae
Description: snRNA_17694
Source: RNAcentral